GUUUCCUAGUACAAUCUUCCCUUUCUGACUUGUCGCUAUAUUCUGUCCCUGUCCAUUUGAGUGUUUUCAUCCUUUACUUCUUUUAAAAGGGACACCCUUGUGUUAUUAUUAAAUACAUUUAUUUAUAAUGCUGGUGUGUUCUAGAGUUCAUUUAGAUUUUUGGACUCCCAAUACCUUAAAAAAACCUAUUUCUUAUAUCUAGCAACGAGACAGUGUCCUCAUCAAAGUUCAGAUCCACCCCUGGAAGAUCUUCAUUAGUGAUGACUGUAAACUGAGAAGGGCAAUCAACACCCUCUGUUUCAGUGCCUGCAAUUUGUCUA
This is a non-coding RNA of Pelobates cultripes (western spadefoot toad), 320 nucleotides long. Lineage: Eukaryota; Metazoa; Chordata; Amphibia; Anura; Pelobatidae. The record is from the annotation of a GenBank genome assembly.